AGUGAACGCUGGCGGUAGGCCUAACACAUGCGAGUCAAACGGCAGCACAGUAAGAGCUUGCUCUUACGGGUGGCGAGUGGCGGACGGGUGAGGAAUACAUCGGAAUCUACUUUUUCGUGGGGGAUAACGUAGGGAAACUUACGCUAAUACCGCAUACGACCUACGGGUGAAAGCAGGGGAUCUUCGGACCUUGCGCGAUUGAAUGAGCCGAUGUCGGAUUAGCUAGUUGGCGGGGUAAAGGCCCACCAAGGCGACGAUCCGUAGCUGGUCUGAGAGGAUGAUCAGCCACACUGGAACUGAGACACGGUCCAGACUCCUACGGGAGGCAGCAGUGGGGAAUAUUGGACAAUGGGCGCAAGCCUGAUCCAGCCAUACCGCGUGGGUGAAGAAGGCCUUCGGGUUGUAAAGCCCUUUUGUUGGGAAAGAAAAGCAGCAGGUUAAUACCCCGCUGUUCUGACGGUACCCAAAGAAUAAGCACCGGCUAACUUCGUG
RNAcentral lists this ribosomal RNA (492 nucleotides) under uncultured bacterium. Its description in RNAcentral is "partial 16S ribosomal RNA". It matches the Rfam family "Bacterial small subunit ribosomal RNA", at positions 29 to 507 of the family's 1533-position model. The record is from RNAcentral.